GCCCUGUGCAGGUCUCUGUGCCAAUGUGGUUGUGUUUGGUUCCAACAGGGCCACCACAGCAGCAGGUCCCGGCGGGACAGGAUCCCAAGUGACUGUGCCCAGCUGGCCCUGCACAGCCCAGGACAGCACCAUGAGUUGCCGGACACGGGCCCCCUGCCCGCUCGCAGUGCCCCACUCCCCCUCCUCGCAGGGGCGGGCAGGAUCUACUCCAUGCAGAACAUCUUCCAGACCAUGUACCUCCUGGGCCAGGUGCUCUUCCACCGUGUCCAGGACUCUCUGCAAGGCCCGGUGCCAUCCAGCUCCCAGGAGGCUGGUCCAGCCACAGAGAGCACCUUGGAGGAGGUUGGGGUGUCUGAGGUGGCAGCGAUGAGAAAGCAGCUGGCGAGGAUCUCGGGGAGGCUCCGUGUGCUGGAGGAGCAGUGCCAUGCCUGGCAACAGAAGGAGGCCCUGGUCUACUCUGUGAUGAUCUCUGCCUGCCUCAUCAACACGUGGCUCUGGCUGAGAAGAUGACUGCCCAUGCCUGACCUCCCUGCUCCCCUGGGCAGAGAGAGGAUCCUUUCUCGUGUACUUGCCAGCAGUAAAACUACGUGUUUGUCCUUAACUUGACCUGCUUUUUGCACUGUGGGCCCUUGGGGAUCCGUGUCCUUUAGGCCUUGAUGACAAUGAAGGUGCCAUCCCUCUCUAGCACCAGAGGUGGGUGAGGGAGAUGCUGAAGCUGGACCUUGUGCUCCAACAAGUGGAGAUGGUGCUGGGGCCGUGGGGUCCAGGGAUUAUGGCCCAGCAGGUGCAGUCCCAGGCUCUGUGUACAUUAGCAGCCACCCUGUGUGUUCAGUGGGGCCAGUACCUGUGUAGGAAGCUGCUGUGAAAAGCUGAGGCCUUCUAAAGAAAUCGGUGGAUGACACAGGAGGUGUCUGUUCUGUGCAAAGCAAGGGGAGACCCUCUGGCCCUUGGGCUGUCUGCCAGGGGAGUCACAAAACCAAGGUGUUGGUGUUGUGGGCAUGGGGUCCUGUUACAGUUGUAGCACGUGGUUCUACAGCCCAAUCCCCUCGCCACACCACAUCUUGGAUAACUCAGCUCUGACCCCAUAAAUGUUCUCAGCCAACUGCUGUGGUCUGCUCCUCAUAUUCUGUAGAGUGACUGAGUGUUUCUAAACUGCUUUUGGAGUUUCUUUUCCUCACAAAAUUGCUGUUUGGUGGCGGUAGCACUGCCAGGUCUCCUGUGCCACAGCCCCUGCUCUGGGAGGGAUGGAGUUGGAGGAGCCAGGAGCUCACAUCCCUGCAGCUGCUGCUGUGCCACCACCCCUGUCAGCUCCCAUCUUGCUGGAGGCAGUUCAGCAGUGGGUUUGCAGAUGUUCAAAUCCAGGGUGACUGUGAGAGCAUUGCUGACAUCUGGGCUUACCCAGGAGCUUGGCUCUUUCCCAAAGAGAUUUACAUGGGAAAAUCCCUGUGGUGACUCUAUGGAUUAUAAGACCUUGUACCAGCAGUGAUAGCCCCAGACAGGUCAUGGAAAAUCACCCAUUAGCAGCAGGAGGUAUUUUUUGGGUUUCCAGUGCUGAGGGGAGGAUCUCUCCCGGUUCUGCUGCCAAGCUGUAGCUUCAGUGAUGGUACAAGAACACAGGUGAAGGAAAUUCCUGACCCAGCUGCUCUUUAGCAACACAUGAGCCCAGUUCAACAGCUUUGCUUUUCUUUCCUUCUGUGGAGUUCGGUAACACUUGGAUCUGAGGUGACUUUGAGAUGCUUUUGGUUGCUCAUCCAGCACAUCUGCUGGAGUUGUGCCCGCAGGCUCUGGGGACAGGUUUUAGCAAGGCUUAACAGGACCUGUCUGUGCCACCUAUAAGUAAUUACAGCUGGAUCCACAGGUCAUCCAGAUGUCCCAAUAGCUUAUUUACAGACAUGGAUGCUUGGCUGUUUUCUGCUUGAAACUGCAUCAAGCAUCUGUGACUGUAAAUCUGGCAGCUGGACACUGACUAAUAAAUAACUGUCCCACAAGUAAUUGCA
RNAcentral lists this long non-coding RNA (1997 nucleotides) under Manacus vitellinus (golden-collared manakin). RNAcentral's name for it is "lncRNA (ENSMVIG00005002849.1)". Lineage: Eukaryota; Metazoa; Chordata; Aves; Passeriformes; Pipridae. The record is from RNAcentral.